AGGGCAUGCUGUGGGAGGGACUGAGUGACAGAUUUGUCAUUCCUUAAGCAUUAGGAGGAAGGGUUUUCAACCAGAAUGCUGAGUUCUUUAGGAGGUGAGCGCAGAGCUACAGGCCUCCACACACCAGCUACCUGCCAGAGCAAGGAAUCUUCUCCAUCCCUUAAUCCUCAUGCAUUAGCUGUCUGGAGAACCUGAGUAACGAACAUGCUGGUACCAGGCCCAAACCUGAUGCUAUCCAAGCAGACUCGACAGAGCAGUGUGUUUCUGUGAAAGCAAUCAUUCCAAUUAAUUGAAUAAAAACAUCCUUCAGGGUGUCUAUCAGAGAAACACCUCUUGGCUCUCGGAGAGCAAAUUGGUCACUAUCCUGAUAAUACAAUGAAAGGUGCCAGUUGUUUUUUGGUUUUUUCCUCUAGAAAUGUAUCUGAUACGGAGGGUGGAAUGAGACUUCAUGGAAGCAAAGAAUAAAGUGGAAAGUGCUAUUUAAGAAAGAGUUCCUGCCCACUUUAAAGAGCCU
Molecule: long non-coding RNA, 514 nt
Filed under: Mus caroli (Ryukyu mouse)
Lineage: Eukaryota; Metazoa; Chordata; Mammalia; Rodentia; Muridae
Description: predicted gene 28083 (MGP_CAROLIEiJ_G0004386.1)
Source: RNAcentral